UUUUCCUUUCUUUCUUUUACACUAAUUCGUAAUUUUUAGAGUUUAAGUUUGAUGGAAUAAGUCUUGAAAGGUACUUAACUAAAUGAACUACAAAUACUAAAAAUUAAAUCAUAAAAAUGUAUAAUUAACUUAUUCAUGUUGUUGGAUUAAUUUUGAUUAUUAUAUGAUUUUAUUUUUUUCUAUCUUAUAUAUUAUUUUCAUCUCCACAUCAAUUAAUUUUGGACUCUAAUUUAAGUUAUAAUCUAAUUAAAUCAAAUUUAAGUGAGGGGAGAAAAAAUCACUCACACCUAUCUUCCUAGGAUAUCUUAAAUUUGGUUGUAUAGAUGCUCCACUCACCCUUUCUUUAUAAUUUGAUGGUAGUCGCAAAGCCACUAGUUUGACCUUUUUUGCUACUGAUUUCUACUCAAUUUCAAUACAUAUCUCUUGGAAAUUUUUUUUUUCUUUAAAUCCAUAAAUUUCAUCAU
This 464-nucleotide long non-coding RNA is filed under the name Physcomitrium patens. RNAcentral describes it as "long non-coding RNA (PPAT_LNC012511)". The record is from RNAcentral. Lineage: Eukaryota; Viridiplantae; Streptophyta; Bryopsida; Funariales; Funariaceae.